This 478-nucleotide ribosomal RNA is filed under the name uncultured bacterium. Its description in RNAcentral is "partial 16S ribosomal RNA". It matches the Rfam family "Bacterial small subunit ribosomal RNA", at positions 28 to 523 of the family's 1533-position model. The record is from RNAcentral.
GACGAACGCUGGCGGCGUGCUUAACACAUGCAAGUCGAAUGGUAAGGCCCUUCGGGGUACACGAGUGGCGAACGGGUGAGUAACACGUGGGUGAUCUGCCCUGCACUUCGGGAUAAGCCUGGGAAACUGGGUCUAAUACCGGAUAGGACCACUGCCUGCAUGGGUGGUGGUGGAAAGCUUUUGUGGUGUGGGAUGGGCCCGCGGCCUAUCAGCUGGUUGGUGGGGUGAUGGCCUACCAAGGCGACGACGGGUAGCCGGCCUGAGAGGGUGACCGGCCACACUGGGACUGAGAUACGGCCCAGACUCCUACGGGAGGCAGCAGUGGGGAAUAUUGCACAAUGGGCGCAAGCCUGAUGCAGCGACGCCGCGUGAGGGAUGACGGCCUUCGGGUUGUAAACCUCUUUCAGCACCGACGAAGCGCAAGUGACGGUAGGUGCAGAAGAAGGACCGGCCAACUACGUGCCAGCCGCCGCGGUAA